GGUGAGUUGGCAGAGCGGUAAUGCAGCGGCUUGCUAAGCCGUGACGGGUUUCCGUCCACAGGUUCGAAUCCUGUACUCACCGCCA
Molecule: transfer RNA, 85 nt
Filed under: Patescibacteria group bacterium
Lineage: Bacteria
Also listed under: 1 other name
Description: tRNA-Ser
Rfam family: tRNA
About the family: Transfer RNA (tRNA) molecules are approximately 80 nucleotides in length. Their secondary structure includes four short double-helical elements and three loops (D, anti-codon, and T loops).
Source: RNAcentral